UACAGAGGUCCCAAGCGUUGUUCGGAUUCACUGGGCGUAAAGGGUGCGCAGGUGGUCGGGUAAGUCUGAUGUGAAAUCCCGCAGCUUAACUGCGGAAUGGCAUUGGAUACUAUUCGGCUAGAGGGUUGGAGGGGGGACUGGAAUUCUCGGUGUAGCAGUGAAAUGCGUAGAUAUCGUAAGGAAGACCAGUGGCGAAGGCGGGUCUCUGGACAGUUCCUGACGCUGAGGCACGAAGGUCAGGGGAGCAAACGGG
RNAcentral lists this ribosomal RNA (253 nucleotides) under uncultured bacterium. RNAcentral's name for it is "partial 16S ribosomal RNA". It matches the Rfam family "Bacterial small subunit ribosomal RNA", at positions 524 to 776 of the family's 1533-position model. The record is from RNAcentral.